Caenorhabditis elegans is the source of this 21-nucleotide non-coding RNA. Lineage: Eukaryota; Metazoa; Nematoda; Chromadorea; Rhabditida; Rhabditidae. The record is from Ensembl.
UAAUAGGAAGUACUCAAAUAC